CCUACGGGUGGCUGCAGUGGGGAAUAUUGCACAAUGGGGGAAACCCUGAUGCAGCGACGCCGCGUGAAGGAAGAAGUAUUUCGGUAUGUAAACUUCUAUCAGCAGGGAGGAAAAUGACGGUACCUGACUAAGAAGCCCCGGCUAACUACGUGCCAUCAGCCGCGGUAAUACGUAGGUGGCAAGCUUUAUCCGGAUUUACCGGGGGUAAAGGGAGCGUAGGCGGUGCAGCAAGUCAGAAGUGAAAGACCGGGGCUCAAAUCCGGGACUGCUUUGGAAACUGUUGAACUAGAUUGCAGGAGAGGUAAGUGGAAUUCCUAGUGUAGCGGUGAAAUGCGUAGAUAUUAGGAGGAACACCAGUGGCGAAGGCGGCUUACUGGACUGUAAAUGACGCUGAGGCUCGAAAGCGUGGGGAGCAAACAGGAUUAGAUACCCCGGUAGUC
RNAcentral lists this ribosomal RNA (440 nucleotides) under uncultured bacterium. RNAcentral describes it as "partial 16S ribosomal RNA". It matches the Rfam family "Bacterial small subunit ribosomal RNA", at positions 338 to 795 of the family's 1533-position model. The record is from RNAcentral.